GCCCGGGUGGCGAAAUUGGUAGACGCAACGGACUUAAAAUCCGUCGGAGCUUAUCCCUCCAUACCGGUUCGAUUCCGGUUCCGGGCACCA
RNAcentral lists this transfer RNA (90 nucleotides) under Sulfurimicrobium sp. RNAcentral's name for it is "tRNA-Leu". It matches the Rfam family "tRNA". Rfam says of the family: Transfer RNA (tRNA) molecules are approximately 80 nucleotides in length. Their secondary structure includes four short double-helical elements and three loops (D, anti-codon, and T loops). Lineage: Bacteria; Pseudomonadati; Pseudomonadota; Betaproteobacteria; Nitrosomonadales; Sulfuricellaceae. The record is from RNAcentral.